AACCCUUGCAUUAGACAUUUUCUAAGUAAUUCCUUAAAUCUUUCUUAGGCUUCAUACAAAAUUUCAUCCUCUGAUUGUCAAAAAGAUGUUAUGUCAUUUCUGAGCUU
Molecule: small nucleolar RNA, 107 nt
Filed under: Gossypium hirsutum (cotton)
Lineage: Eukaryota; Viridiplantae; Streptophyta; Magnoliopsida; Malvales; Malvaceae
Also listed under: 2 other names
Description: Plant small nucleolar RNA R71
Rfam family: Plant small nucleolar RNA R71
About the family: R71 is a member of the C/D box family of snoRNAs containing the C (UGAUGA) and D (CUGA) box motifs. Multiple nearly identical copies of this snoRNA have been identified in Arabidopsis, and it is thought to function as a 2'-O-ribose methylation guide for 18S ribosomal RNA.
Source: Rfam by way of RNAcentral